GCCGGAGUGGCGAAAUUGGCAGACGCACUACCUUGAGGUGGUAGCGCCCUCACGGGCUUGGGAGUUCAAAUCUCCCCCCGCGCA
RNAcentral lists this transfer RNA (84 nucleotides) under Candidatus Nomurabacteria bacterium RIFCSPHIGHO2_02_FULL_42_24. RNAcentral describes it as "tRNA-Leu". It matches the Rfam family "tRNA". From Rfam's summary of the family: Transfer RNA (tRNA) molecules are approximately 80 nucleotides in length. Their secondary structure includes four short double-helical elements and three loops (D, anti-codon, and T loops). Lineage: Bacteria; Candidatus Nomuraibacteriota. The record is from RNAcentral.